ACCAAAAAACCGAGUCAAACCGAACCGAAAAAUCCGAACCGAGCAGAAUAAUGGUUAAUAUGGUUUGAUUUGGUUUAAAAUUUAUAUAAAUUGCGGUUUACGGUUUCGGUUUGGUUUUAGGGUUCGGUUACCGAACCGAACCGAAAAAACCGAAAUAAUAAAAGAGGUUAUUUUUGUCAUUUCCAUAGAAUGCUAUAUAUACCUUAAUUUAACCUAGAAACCCUAAUUUCCCCCUUUUCUUUCUUCUUCACUCAUCCGCCUCACUCCCUCUCACCCACAUACAGCCCCUUUCUUUCCCCUUUCUCUAUUUUCCUUUGCCUUCUUCUCCACUAUUUCUUCUCUAUCAUUCAUAAACUCUUAAAUUUAUAUGCCUUCAAAGAUAAACAUGAAUUUAUAAGGUUUAUGAAGUUUAUUAAAGAAAUCAAGAUAUUUUCUAGAGAAAAAUAAGAAUCAACAAAGUCCAUUUAGUUUGUUAUUGAUGUACUGAAGAAAUAAAAUAUGAAAAAAUCAAAUUAUGUAAUGUGAAUAGACCAAUUUUAUGUAUAUAUAUCUCUAUGUUGAUAUUA
Molecule: long non-coding RNA, 566 nt
Organism: Mercurialis annua (annual mercury)
Lineage: Eukaryota; Viridiplantae; Streptophyta; Magnoliopsida; Malpighiales; Euphorbiaceae
Exons: 2
Source: RefSeq, a predicted model, not a curated record